UAGGGAAUAUUAGAAAUGGACGAAAGUCUGAUCUAGCAACGCCGCGUGUGCGAAGAAGGCCUUCGGGUUGUAAAGCACUUUUUGGAAGGAUUAGGAAGGAAUGUACUUCCAGAAUAAGUCUCGGCUAACUACGUGCCAGCAGCCGCGGUAACACGUAGGAGGCAAACGUUAUCCGGAUUUACUGGGCGUAAAGCGCGUGUAGGUGGUUCUGUAAGUAGGGCGUGAAAGCUCCUGGCUCAACUGGGAGAGGCCGUUCUAAACUGCAGAGCUAGAGGAUGGUAGAGGGAGGUGGAAUUCCGGGUGUAGCGGUGGAAUACGCAGAUAUCCGGAGGAACACCAGUGGCGAAAGCGGCCUCCUGGACCAUUCCUGACACUCAGACGCGAAAGCUAGGGUAGCAAACG
RNAcentral lists this ribosomal RNA (402 nucleotides) under uncultured prokaryote. RNAcentral's name for it is "bacterial SSU rRNA". It matches the Rfam family "Bacterial small subunit ribosomal RNA", at positions 355 to 774 of the family's 1533-position model. The record is from RNAcentral.